This 460-nucleotide ribosomal RNA is filed under the name uncultured bacterium. RNAcentral's name for it is "partial 16S ribosomal RNA". It matches the Rfam family "Bacterial small subunit ribosomal RNA", at positions 338 to 795 of the family's 1533-position model. The record is from RNAcentral.
ACUACGGGCGGCAGCAGUGAGGAAUAUUGGUCAAUGGACGAGAGUCUGAACCAGCCAAGUAGCGUGAAGGAUGACUGCCCUAUGGGUUGUAAACUUCUUUUAUAUGGGAAUAAAACAGGGUAUGCAUACCCUCUUGUAUGUACCAUAUGAAUAAGGAUCGGCUAACUCCGUGCAAGCAGCCGCGGUAAUACGGAGGAUCCGAACGUUAUCCGGAUUUAUUGGGGUUAAAGGGAGCGUAGGUGGAUUGUUAAGUCAGUUGUGAAAGUUUGCGGGUCAACCGUAAAAUUGAAGUUGAAACUGGCAGUCUUGAGUACAGUAGAGGUGGGCGGAAUUCGUGGUGUAGCGGUGACAUGCUUAGAUAUCACGAAGAACUCCGAUUGCGAAGGCAGCUCACUGGACUGCAACUGACACUGACGCUCGAAAGUGUGGGUAUCAAACAGGAUUAGAUACCCUAGUAGUC